AGUAUUAAAAGAAAUAAGAUCUCAUAUAAAAUUAAAUAUUCCAAAUAAUGAGGAUUCUAAUGAAUUCAAGUUUAAAAUUUCAUUUGCAUACCAUUGAAUUAAUUUGCGUCGUCGUUUAAUUCGUUUAUAAACAAACCCAAACAAGAUUCCUCUCCGUGUUUCAUAGCGUAAUAACUUCCUGUAACCUGUUCACCCUUGCCUGCCCUUUCACGAGCGAAAUCUCGUCUCUCUGGUGUGUGAUCGACGUGGCUCCCGAGAAAGGGAACCACCCCAGACAAGGGAGAGCAACAGGUUCGGUCGUUUCUGCCUAAAAGAAGGCGUAUCUCUCAAGGAACAACCACGGCAAGACGUUCUCCCUCCGACCAAAGGUCUCGAAUAUCCUACGAGUUGCCACUGAAGCGAGGGAAGAUUUCGAACCAACAACCACACAGAUUUCCUCUCCCCACAGAGAUUAUGAGGAAUCAAUGACGAGGGAUGAGAUUCUUUUGCAAAAAUUGAUGACAAUAUCGUCUUCUAAAUAAGCCCUAUCCCUCUUCUGACUCUCUUCCCUUGUCAUUCUUAUGGAAAUCGAUAUCUAAUCGCCUGUUGCUCUCGUCUCCUUAUCCACAUAAACAUAAAUAAAUGCAAUCAUCACGAUCCUCUUUUGAUUCUUGGAACCUUUUUUUCUUUUUGUUAAAGUAAAAUACUGUUAAUUUUGCCAGUUGUAACAAUUGUAUCGUAGGGAUAAUUAAAAAUUUUAAUUUUAAUUCCCCUCCUAUACAUCCUAUUAUGAUUAAAAGUAUUAAUUUUUCAAGCUGAAAAUAACUUCGAUACAACAAAUACUAAUCAUUCGCGUUUCAACGCGUAAUAAUCGAAGCCCCUCCCCUAAUAUAUCCGAAAAUUCAACAAUCCGCCAUUGUCUGGUAAUUCAAUCCUCGUUAAAGGUUAGACUGUCGCACUUUUAAUCGAUAUUAUCUAUUAUCGACGUUGUCGAACAAGCAAAUUUCAAUUUAACUCGUAUUUACGCCCUGUAUAAUAACCGAGCGGAUAAUAACGGUUAGUUAUUGAACGCGUAUUGGAAAUAAAGUGUUGGACUACUCACCAUCGAUACUUGGUUCAAAUUGUGUACGCGCGCGAUAGUGGGCGGGAAAAUGUGUUAAGCUCGUCAAAGUGGCACGAUUCAAUUCGUUGGAAUUAACUUCCUACAACGCGUGAAUCCACGCUUUGGACAAAUGCACGCGGAAUUUCAUUAAGAACCUUUCAUUCCGGUGUUACGCGAUGUUUUAAUUGUUGACGGCGCGACUCGAUCGUUUCGAGUGGAUUAUAUGUUAUAUAUUCGUUGUUAUAUUACAGAUCGAAAAUUUGAUUGUCAUAUUGUCCUAUUUGGAUCUAUUUGAUUUAUCUGGAAAACGUGUUUUAGGAUAAAGUAAACAGUUUGUUGCAUUUUGUCGAAGCUCAAUUCUUUAUUAGUGAUCAUUUUUUUCGAAGAGAUUAUUUUGGAAUAUCAUUUAAAUCAGCUCGUUACCACAAUAGAAUGGAUCUUUUUUUGUAUAUAUUAAUAUUAAUAAUUAUUAAUUAUAUAAAUAUUGAAUAUUAAGAUCUCACAUUAUUGAAAAAUUUAAAAUUCUGAAAAUAUCUGUUCUGAAAAAUUCCCAAUUAUCCACUCGAAUAUUAAUGCGUAAAUUUAAAUUUCCAGAUAGCCUCUGCGUUACAACUCGAUAAUUAUUAAUUCGUAGUGAGAAAUAACAUUGGUAAGAUUACAUUGAAAACAGUGCACGUGAAUUAUAUGCGAAAGCGUGGUUCUUCUAGCUGUUGGUGAAGCGUCAUCGAUCGACCAGGAUUAAAUCGAGAAAAGAGUUUAACUAUGAGUGGGGGAAGGGAGGGGGGUUUUUAUCGGAUGAUGCGGAUUAUUCAUUUAAAUUGAAGAUCGAAGGCGAAUCGAUACUCACUCUCCACUUAGCAGGCAUGCAUCGAUGCAUCAACGAUGGCCGUUUUCAGUGCGGCGCCGUGCCGCUUAAACCGGUAAUUAUCGUAAUGGUCAUUAAGCAUGUGAACAAAUAACGUUCGUUAUCGGGAUUUCAGGACACGUGUAUCAGUGGACGUGGUACAACGUUAGACCGGUUUGACAAUUUCCGUGUUCUGUUUACGUAAUGCUCUGCUCGAGUGUCUGUGGUUGCAUUAACGUUAUGAAACAACAGCUCUUUGUGAGGGAACGUGCUCAUUCCAAAUAUCGCGCAUACCUAUUAUAUAUUGUCGAAGAGGGAAAAAAAAUUUUUCCAUAAUUCAUCGUUUUGCAACCGUUGUACGAAACAGAUUUUGACAUAGUACAGUUAAUUAACACGAAAAAUUCUUCGUAAUUCGUCGUAAUAUUUUUCUGAAAGUAAUAUUUAUGAAAAUAUAAAUAUAACUGUCAUUUGGUAAAUUUAAAAUUAUCUUAUAGUGAGGUUUGAAAAACCGAGAAUUAUUUUUGAAGAUUGUAAAUGCGUCGACAGUAUAAUAAUAUAUUCAUUAGAUUGAAAUAUUUGUUCAUCAAGUUACACGUUAAAUUGACCUAAUUUCAUUUAAUCUAAUAAUUUUCGGUUGAUAUAAUAAUUCUUAAUCAACAGUAUCGUUGACAAAGUAUAUCUUGAAAAAUCGAGAAUUAUUUUUAAAAAAUUCAUAAAAAAAACUUGCAAAAAUAUAAAUUUGCUAACAGAAUAUCAUAUUGUAAAUGGAAUGUAUUAAAUUAUAAAUCGCAUUAAAAAAAAAUUGAUAAAAAUUAAUUCAACUUUCUAACCUAACCUAAAAAUUUUCGAUCGAUAUAAUUAUUCCUUGUUAACCAAUACGAACGUUGGUAAGACGCUUUUAGAGAAUCAUUUUAUAUUAAUAUAAAUAAAAAUAAAAUUAUAAUACUUAUUAUUCAUCGAGUUGCAUUGAAAAUUAUAUCUAAUCCAGCUUCGGGCAACCUAACAAUUUUCGGUCAAAUGUAAUAAUUCCUCGUUAACUAGCACCACCGUUGGCAGUGGACCAAGGGACAUCUUGAAAAACCGAAAAUCCUCUCUGACACCGCGUCGCUCAACGAACAGGACAGGUUCGUUUCUAUUCCGGAUGACAAACGCAAUAACGACAGCCAUCGCGAGAGUGUCGUUUGUCCAGCGCGUGUUACCUAAGUUUCCGGGUGAUGGCGCGCGCUGCUGAAUUUUCCCCGUGGCUGGUUCGAUGAAGAGAGCCACGGGCGAUUAAUACGUGUCGUCCAAGCUGGAUGCGCGGUUGCCGCGUUUAUAUUCAAGCCGGAUUUCGUAAUUUUCUCCCCGUCAGCGUUACAUACGCUGACCAACGCCCACCAAUUUGCCAGACGUGAAACGUGGACCUGUGCACCUAUGGAAAUGCGAUGAGAAAUUGCGAUUCUCUCUCUUCCUUCUCCUGCUCUCGAUUUAUGAAACGCCAUUACCUCGAGAUCGACGAACGUUUUCCGAAACUCGACGCGUUUGCCGACAAUGCGGUGUCGCUCGUGCUGACGAACUCUCGUAUAUCGUCGAGGAUAAACUCUCCGCAGAUUUUUUGGACGAAUUAAAGUGAGAACUAUUUUCCAUUUGGAACACGUUUAAGAAUAAAACCACUGAAACCAAUAUAGCGAUAUUAAAAAAGAGCACUCACGAGAUAUUGAUAUUGGAUAUUCUUUUUCAUAAAAAUCGGGAGUUUUCCAUUGAAUGAAAAGAAGUAUUCGAAACGAAGUUAAUUGUCCAAGUCACCUUGAUCCUCGUAAAGGCGAGAGAAAAAUGCAAAAACGAGAAUUUGCACAGGUCAAAUCAAAUUCUAGAUUGUAACCAAGAAACUUCCAUCGUUCUUCUGUGGAAGGAAAAGAAAAUGCAAAAAAUUCCCAAAGAAAUCCAUUUUAUUCGUUAAGAAAAUUAUUCUUACAUACAAGAUAUCUUUCUUGUCUGUCAAAAAAAAAAUUUUUUUAAUUUUCAUUUUAAAAGUCUCAAUUUGAGGAGAUGAAAAAUCCCCUUUACUAUUACAAAUUUUAUUUCGAUCUUAUUUUUUUCAUAAUUUUACUUAUUGCCUAUAGUUUGAAAAUAUUCAAUAUUCGCUGAUAAGUUUCCAUACUCGUGUAUUUAAUCACACAUUUUUUAUUAACAAAAUUCUACCAAUACUUUCUCGAUAUAUAUUUCCAACAUGUUUUUAUAAAAUUAUAUAUUUUUAAAAAAUAUGUUCCACAAUAAAAAAAAGUGAUUGCUUAUUACCCAAUCGUACAUUCUCUUCUUUUCGACCACCAAAUGAAACUUUAACGAAAUAAACGCGGUUUCCGUGAUGAAACAGGGAAGGUGGCAGGUUGUUAUUUAGAAAGUUUGUCUUAUCAUUUAGGAAGUUGCCGCCACGUAUAGAUUCACAUAUUAUUACGUCGUGUUAAGCUUGUGUAUUCGUCGCUCGAUUAAUUGACGUUAGACAACGUUAGAUGUACGUAUUUCCAAGUCGUCAAGGCCUUGUAGAAAGCGUCGCGAGCUAUUUCGUUCGCUUCUGCCCUCAUCCCCUUCGUUAAUUUUGUUAUGCGAAACAUUGUUGUCGUCGUGGUAAUGAAAGUUGAUGAGAAAGUAUCGCCAAAUAUCGGGAAACAGUUUUACUGAGGGAGCAACUUACUUUCGAAGACGGAAUAAAACUGCAAUUUCAACGAUAGUUACGAUACGAUACUUGUUCGUUAGUUACAGACAGUAAGAAAGAAUUGGAAAAAUUAUACACGCUUUUAGGUUUUUAUACAAAAUAACGGUUAUUUGGGAUGGUAAUACUCAUUAUAUAUAUUCGUACUAUUCACUGUAAAAAGAAGUCUCGCAGUAGGAAAUACAUUUUUCUAUCGUAUUAUAUUUGUCACGUAUAUCCUGAUCCAAAAAAGGCAUAUAAUCCAGAGAAUUUUAACGUAUCAAUAUAAUAUAAAAAUUUUCAGCGUAGAUUAAUUACGAUUUGUAACGAUAAUUUAAUUUAUAAGUGUAAUUUCAUAUUCGAGUAAUUGAGACAAUAAUUGUACAAAUAACAAUUUCGAAAAUAUUUUAACUUCCAGUCUUGGACGGUUAGCCUGUAACGUACUUCACGAAUGAAAAUAAUAUUUUUGUCAUUUUAUAGCUCUUCUACUUUUAUGUAGCGUGUGGUGUCAGGUUUGUCAACAAAGCGUCUGAAGUGGGGAUAAAUGAUCCUAGCGAAGGACAACCCCUCUUGCCUCUGUGCCGUUUCUCGAGACUUGUUUUCAGCAGUGGACAGUAUUUAGUUCGAUAAAAAUAAAAUUCUUCUAGCUUUUAUUAUCCUCUAUGUUGCUAGUUAAAAUUGCUCAAAGAAAAUUCUCUAUUAUUGAUCUGUUAUUGAUUUAUAAAUAAGAAAUAUAAGUACAAGUAUUUUUUA
Molecule: long non-coding RNA, 5346 nt
Organism: Apis cerana (Asiatic honeybee)
Lineage: Eukaryota; Metazoa; Arthropoda; Insecta; Hymenoptera; Apidae
Source: RefSeq, a predicted model, not a curated record